GCGUCUCCUGGUCCGGUGCGGCGGCGAUGGCCGUCUCCAGACCGGCGAGGGGGGCGAGGACCGGUUCCGCCGGUGAGGCGUCC
This 83-nucleotide transfer RNA is filed under the name Streptomyces sp. ADI97-07. RNAcentral describes it as "tRNA-Trp". The record is from RNAcentral. Lineage: Bacteria; Bacillati; Actinomycetota; Actinomycetes; Kitasatosporales; Streptomycetaceae.